CCCUUAGAUGUCCUGGGCCGCACGCGCGCUACACUGAUGCAUUCAACGAGUUUUACCUUGGCCGAGAGGCCUGGGCAAUCUUUUAAACCUGCAUCGUGAUAGGGAUAGAUUAUUGCAAUUAUUAAUCUUGAACGAGGAAUUCCUAGUAAACGCAGAUCAUCAAUCUGCAUUGAUUACGUCCCUGCCCUUUGUACACACCGCCCGUCGCACCUACCGAUUGAAUGGUCCGGUGAGGCCUCGGGAUUGUGGCCAGUUCACUUUAUUGGGAGUUGGCUGCGAGAACUUGUCUAAACCUUAUCAUUUAGAGGAAGGUGAAGUCGUAACA
Molecule: ribosomal RNA, 325 nt
Filed under: uncultured eukaryote
Lineage: Eukaryota
Description: partial 18S ribosomal RNA
Rfam family: Eukaryotic small subunit ribosomal RNA
Source: RNAcentral